AGAGGCCCUCCGCGGCUGGGGUGGAACACUUGCCUCGUUGCCAUGGCAACGAAGCAAGCAUUCCACCAGGCCACUCACGCUGCCCGC
Non-coding RNA from Myotis lucifugus (little brown bat), 87 nucleotides. NCBI's taxonomy places the organism in Eukaryota, Metazoa, Chordata, Mammalia, Chiroptera, Vespertilionidae. The record is from Rfam.